RNAcentral lists this ribosomal RNA (168 nucleotides) under uncultured Agrobacterium sp. Its description in RNAcentral is "partial 16S ribosomal RNA". It matches the Rfam family "Bacterial small subunit ribosomal RNA", at positions 337 to 522 of the family's 1533-position model. The record is from RNAcentral. Lineage: Bacteria; Pseudomonadati; Pseudomonadota; Alphaproteobacteria; Hyphomicrobiales; Rhizobiaceae.
UCCUACGGGAGGCAGCAGUGGGGAAUAUUGGACAAUGGGCGCAAGCCUGAUCCAGCCAUGCCGCGUGAGUGAUGAAGGCCUUAGGGUUGUAAAGCUCUUUCACCGGAGAAGAUAAUGACGGUAUCCGGAGAAGAAGCCCCGGCUAACUUCGUGCCAGCAGCCGCGGUA